GUCUGAGGCCAUGCCACCCUGAACAAACCCCAUGUCUGAUCUCAGAAGCUAAGCAGGGUUGGGCCUGGUUAGUACUUGGAUGGGAGACCACCUAGUACUAUCUUAUUAUUUAUGCUGUAGGCA
This is a ribosomal RNA of Pteropus vampyrus (large flying fox), 123 nucleotides long. NCBI's taxonomy places the organism in Eukaryota, Metazoa, Chordata, Mammalia, Chiroptera, Pteropodidae. The record is from Ensembl.